RNAcentral lists this ribosomal RNA (472 nucleotides) under uncultured bacterium. RNAcentral describes it as "bacterial SSU rRNA". It matches the Rfam family "Bacterial small subunit ribosomal RNA", at positions 355 to 825 of the family's 1533-position model. The record is from RNAcentral.
UCGAGAAUUUUUCUCAAUGGGCGAAAGCCUGAAGGAGCGACGCCGCGUGGGGGAUGAAUGGCUUCGGCCCGUAAACCCCUGUCAUUUGCGAACAAACCUCGUGAUUUAACAGAUGACGAGCUGAUUGUAGCGAAAGAGGAAGGGACGGCUAACUCUGUGCCAGCAGCCGCGGUAAUACAGAGGUCCCAAGCGUUGUUCGGAUUCACUGGGCGUAAAGGGUGCGUAGGUGGUUGGGUAAGUCUGAUGUGAAAUCUCCGGGCCUAACCCGGAAACUGCAUCGGAUACUAUUCGACUGGAGGGUUGGAGGGGGGACUGGAAUACUUGGUGUAGCAGUGAAAUGCGUAGAUAUCAAGUGGAACUACCAGUGGCGAAGGCGAGUCCCUGGACAACUCCUGACACUGAGGCACGAAAGCUAGGGGAGCAAACAGGAUUAGAUACCCCGGUAGUCCCUGAGCGGGCUGGCAAGGCGCAU